Heterocephalus glaber (naked mole-rat) is the source of this 4421-nucleotide long non-coding RNA. The record is from Ensembl. NCBI's taxonomy places the organism in Eukaryota, Metazoa, Chordata, Mammalia, Rodentia, Bathyergidae.
GGAGAAGCAGCGAUUGGUGCUGGGGCGGGCGGUGUUUUGAGUGCGCGCGCGCGCAGGCGGGAGCGCGUACGUCGGCAGCGCGGAAGUUAGGGUCUCGAGGAGGCUGCCACCGGCUGAUCCUUCCUCCGGCGGCCGCCCUCCGUGGCCAGUUGUCGGACUCCGGGAAGUAGGCGCUGAGGGCUCGCCCCCUGCGUAUGUGAGCGCUUCUGUCUCUCUGGCGGCUACGCACGGCUGUCGCUCUGGAGAGACUGAGGAGGAAACGGGGGUGGGAGGGGAUUGCGACUGCAGUGGGACGCGGGAGCGGCGGAAGCACCGCGCUGGAGCGGUCCGGUGGCGUCGCCGGGCUUCCUUGCCCUCCCUCCGCCCGGCCGGGCUGGCUCGGAUCCCCGGGUCGAGCGCGCUGCUGCGUCACACCAGGCAGCCAGGCCGCCACUGUUGAGCAUCUCCGGCCGCCUCCCACGCCCGGGCGAGUGCACGGCCCGAGCUCCCGAGCCGAAGCGAAAGAAUGCGAGCUCAGGUUGUUGACGUCCUGUGACGCUGCUGGAUUGCAUUUGUGGGUGACCGUUGCCUGGUUCAGAAAAGAACUUUCACCAUCUUUGCUUUCUAGGUCCCUCCCUGGAGGGCGGAUUAAAGGAUGCCGCGACGAAUCGCAAAAGAACAAAAGCUCUCCAGGGACGCUGCUGACCUCAUCACUGCCUCCCAUCUUUCCUAGUAGACGCUCAACAUCCUAGACACACAUCUCUUCAGGACACACCAGCUGCUGUCACUGAUGUGCUGAAACUGUCAACUCCAAGAGAAGGAGCAAAAGAAUGAUAAACAGUACAGUGUAUCUGGGCAUGAUGGCACAAGCCUGUAAUCCCAGCACUCUGGGAGGCUGAGGCAAGAGGAUCUAAGUUCAAGACCAGCCUCAGUGAGACCCUCUCUCAAAAUAAAAAAUACAAGAAAGGGCUGUGCAUGUAGCUCUACAGUAGUACAGAAAAUAAAUAAAUAUAAAUGUAUAAGUAUACAACAGCAGAUACAUAAACCAGUGACAUGGUCACUUGUUAUCACCAUCAAGCAUUAUGUACUGUAUCAUUGUAUGUGCUAGGCUUUCACAGGACAGGCAGCACUGUGAUUUUGUUUACGACAGCGUCAUUGUGCUACUGCUUUAUGGGGCCUCCCAUCUCACUGGGUGAUAGGGAGUUUUUGGCUCCAUUAAGAUCUGUGGGACCACUGCUGUAUUUGUAAUUCAUCAUUGCCCAAACUAUCACUGCGUGGGGCAUCACUGUAUAGAAGGCACACACAUGCACACACUCUCUUUGAACUGCCUGCAUUUUUCCUCUAAGCAGGACAUCUGUGUCAGAAUAUUCUCCCAAGUCACUACUGUGACAUUUUUAGUCAUUGUGUGGCCACAUUCUGCCAGGGAUUCAAAUACCAGGUCCUCAUUGACAAUGAGAUAGCUCUGAUCUAAUCCUCAAACUUUUAUCUAUCAUGGUUCAUAUGAGUUUGCACUAAACUAUGAAAUAAAUUUGUCCCAGCCUGGGCAAUUUAUGACUUAAUAAGACUUUGUCUCAAAAGAAAAAAAAUUUUUUAAACGGGCUGGGUAUGUAGCUCAGUGCCAAGGUUCUGGGUUCAAUCUCCAAUUUAAAAAAUAGUGUUUUAUUGUGUUAUUUUUUGGUCUUUGUGCCUCUGACUUCUUUCACAGAAUUAAAACCUUUAGAAUUUUAUCAGUGUUAGGACUGUCCUAGUAUUCUGUGUUAAUCUGUUUUUCAUUAGUAUAAUGAAGUAUCUGAGGCGAGCUAAUUUAUGAAGAAAAGUGUGUAAUUUAACUCAUAGUUCUGGAGGCUCCAGGGCCCACAUCAGGUUAUGGCCUUUUUGUUGGGAGAGGCCUGAGACAGCACAGAGCAUCCUAUAAUGAGAGACAAGAGCUUGCCCUUUGGCUUCUUUCUGCUUGUACAGCUGUGACUAUUGAAUCCUAGAGGUUCCACUGCAUAACUUUCUCUAAACUAAUUACCCCCUAAAGGCCUUACCUAUAGGCAUCAUAGUUGAAUUAAGUUUCCACCCUUUUAAUACCCCUCAAUGAGGAUGAAAUUUCAACACGCCAUCCCUGCCAUCCCCGUGGGUACUAAAACUACAUCUGAACCACAACACCCCCUUCUGAUAAUACCUGAAUUCAUGCUGAUGACCUAGGGUGGAGACCCAAGACAACCUUGGACCAGUUACCAGAAAGACUAAGUGAUUACAGAAGAAGAGUAUUGGAAAGACCAGCCCUACCCCAAACCUCCAGGAAGGGGGAGGGCUGGAUAUCAAGCUCUAUAAAAACUCUUAGACAACAAGAUUUCAAGAGCGCCUGGGUUGCUGAACACAGAACUGCUUCGAGGGUGGUGAACCUAGUGCGAAGUCCCAUACUCUCUCCACCAUCCCUCACCUUAUCCACUUCUUCAUCUGGUUGUUCAUCUGUGUGCUUCAAAGUACACUUUACAAUAAACCAUAAAUUAAAGUGUCUCUCAGAGUUCUGUGAGAUAGCCUAGCAAAUGGUUCAGAGUUCUCCAAGGGACAGAAUCAACAGGAUAGCUAUGUGGGAGAGAAUUUAUCAGGGGAUCAGGCUCAUUCCCUUUUGGAAGCUAAGAAAUGCCACCACAGGUUGGCAGCAGGCUGAAGAACUUGGGAUGUUGAUGGUGUGGCUCAAUCUAAAUUCAAAUGCCUUAGAACUAGUAAAGCUGGUAGUGUAGAGCUCGAGGACCCUGGGAGUUACUGGUGGAAAUUCUGAGAGUCCAAAGUCCAAGGCAGAAAUGAAUGUAUCAGAGCUCUCUGGGGGGAAACCAACUUACCUUCUGUAUUUGUUCUAUCCAAGGGCUGGGGAUGUAGCUCAAUGGCCCCACACCUGCCUGGCAAGCAAAGUCCUGAGUUCAAUAUCAAGUACAGGGAGUGGGGUGGGGUGGGGGGUAUUUGGCAGAGCUGGAUGUAUUCAUACCUAUAAUCUCAGCUACUUGAGAGGCUGAGCCAGGUGGACUGCAAGUUGGAGGGCAGCCUGGGCAAUUUGUUUAAAAAGGCUGGGGGAGUAGCUUAGUAGCUGUGUGCUUGCUAGUUUAGCAUAUCGGAGGCCUGGGGUGGGGGUGGAGGGCUAGGGGAUGAGAGAGAGAUUUGGUGUAUGUUUUUUAAACUUUAGGGAAAUAUUUUAUAUGAUAGGUUUUUCCUUGCUGCUUUUCAGAGGCAGUAUUGGUUAGAUCAACUGUUACUAAAUCUUUAUCUCUAUCUGUGAAUAUGACUUUAUGUUACUGGGAACUGAACCCAGAGCUUUGUGCAUGCUAGGAAGCAAUCUACCAGUUAACUACAUCACUGGCCUUUUUUAUUUCAUUUUUUGAGACAAGAUCUUCCUAAAUUGCCCUGGGACUUGUGAUGCUCUUGCCUCAGCCUCCAGAGUGGUAGGGGUUACAGGCUUGCACCACUGCACACCACUGAUCUUUAUGGCAUUUUAAGUACAUUAAUGUUUUGUGAGUACUACACUUACAUUUAAUGAGAUGAAUUCAUGUUGCCUAAUACGUUGCAUAUUAUUUCUUUGAAUCAUUUUCUUAAUCCAGUGACAGCCUUGAGCUUCUUCAUUAGCUGAAAAUUUUGCAAUGUUUCAUCAAACACACAUAAAUAUCGUGUUUUAAUAUACUUUCUCUUUUCUGAACAAAUAGGUAUUUGUUGGAGGCAAUCUUAUAAAUUAAUUUAAAAUAAACCCAUUGGUUUUUGGUUUAUUUCUUAUUUUUAUCAUAUAAUUAACAGGAGAGGGCAGUCAGAGACUACUGUUAAGAAUUCAAUGGCCUGCAUAUAUUUCAGAGGCCAAAAAGAAAUCCUAUAAUUCUGCUUUAAAAACACUUGCAUCAGUAACACAUGCUAUAUGUUAUUUAAACUCGUUUAUGGUGAAUCAUUUAUAUCUCUGAUGGAUCCCUUAUAACAUGGAGGUUCCCAGGAAGCCUGUCUAAUCUAGCAAAAAGUAAAUCUGAAGAGCUUACAUGAUGUGCUCAAGACUGAAUACCUGACCACUUGAAGUUAGAGUUUACUUUUGUCCUUCACACCCCCCUUUCCUGGAUAUGUAUCCAUGAAACAGGAACUAGCUGUGAAGUUCAUAGUGGAUUCAGAAGAGAUUUGAAGAGACAGUAUUGAAAAGGUCAGGUUUAUACUUCAGAAUUACUUAAUAAUUCAAAAAGUAAUUUAUCCGAAUUCACAAAUAAGCCUGAUGUCUUUUGCUGAUCUUAUUGUCUAGUUUUCAUGAACUAUAUUUCUCCUACUAGUAUGUUAGUAUUUUAUAGACAUCUUAAUUCUUUACAAAGGAUAUUUGAGACAAUCUAGCAACAUUUUUUAAAAGCAUAAAACUCUUAGGUUUGCUUUGUAAUAUAGCAAUAAGUUUGAGUGAUUUCUAAAAUUAUUACUUGUAGCACAGUAUGAUGACAUCU